Molecule: RNA transcript, 10292 nt
Organism: Pangasianodon hypophthalmus (striped catfish)
Lineage: Eukaryota; Metazoa; Chordata; Actinopteri; Siluriformes; Pangasiidae
Gene: kcnc3a
Gene name: potassium voltage-gated channel, Shaw-related subfamily, member 3a
Exons: 7
Source: RefSeq, a predicted model, not a curated record
UAUAUUACUCUAAGGAUUACACUGCGCGUCGGAAAGCCCAAAAAUUGACCUAAACACACACCUCGUCAGGAAUAAAGAGGCAAAAGGAGCAAAUGCGCACGGACCGCAGCUACACACCCGCAUCCACCGCACUCUUUUGCGUGUUUUCCUCAGCUAUCUGUUUUUUUUUUUGUUUUUUAUUUUUUUCUUAAUGACAUUUUGUCAUUUUUGGAGCGGGUGACGACCAGAAGAAGAGAGUGAAAAGAAAAAAAGGCAGACAGACAGAGAGAGAGAGAGAGAGAGAGAGAGAGAGAGAGAGAGAGAGAAACACCGACAGCUCGACGGAGGUGCUGUUGGGUCGCGCGCGCUCGCUUGGGCUGGAUGGACUGCACCUUUCCGGGAAACUAAAGCAGGGACAGAAAUAGAAAUAUACAGGCUCUACAAAGCCAGAAUUAACCUGAGACCUGUUUCGCAUUUAUUCAUUUAUUUUGGUUAUUUAUUUAUUUAUUUAUAUAGAUAUAUAUUUUUUGCAGACAUUUGUUAAAGAGACACCACAGAAGACCAGGUGCGUUUAGUAGCUUAAACACAGCAAUGCGUCCAGUCUCAGGCGUGCACAUCUUGUGAUCUGACUCCAGUUUUUUUCCCCCUCAUUAAGAAAUUAGCCACAUUCCUCCGCCUGGUCGGUUCGCGCGCGCGUGUUCAUGUGUGCGUUGAUUAACGCGCGCGCCACGCACGCACCGCAUCCACACGAACCGAGCCAGACCCGACGCGAGCUCCUCCCCCUCCCCGUCUUUCUCUCCCCGCCCCCUCCACCUCCUCCUCUAUGCUCAGCUCGGUGUGCGUCUCCUCUUUCAGAGGGCGCAAGGGUGGCAGCAAGUCGUGCGCCAAAGCAUGCGCGAGCGCCGACAUGACUUGCCCGUCGGACAGCGAGCGCAUCGUGAUCAACUGCGGCGGCGUGCGGCACGAGACCUACCGCAGCACGCUCCGCACGCUGCCCGGCACGCGCCUCUCCUGGCUCACCGAGCCCGACGCGUGCAGUAACUUCGACUACGACCCCAAGUCGGACGAGUUCUUCUUCGACCGGCACCCGAGCACGUUCGCCUUCAUCCUCAACUACUACCGCACCGGCAAGCUGCACUGUCCCGGCGAUGUGUGCGGCCCGCUCUUCGAGGAGGAGCUCGCCUUCUGGGGCAUCGACGAGACGGACGUGGAGGCGUGCUGCUGGAUGAACUACCGGCAGCACCGCGACGCCGAGGAGGCGCUCGACAGCUUCGAGACGCCCGAGCCGGACGCGCCGGAGGACGAGGCUGCGGCGCUGGCCGGUGGCGGCGGAGGGGGCGGGGCCGACGGAGACCUCAAGCGGCUCUGCCUGCACGAGGACGGCGGCAAGCCGAGCUGGUGGAGCGUGUGGCAGCCGCGCGUCUGGGCGCUCUUCGAGGACCCGUACUCGUCCAAAUACGCGCGGUACGUGGCGUUCGGCUCACUCUUCUUCAUCCUCAUCUCCAUCUCGACGUUCUGCCUGGAGACGCAUGAGGCGUUCAACACCAUCUACAACCGUACAGAGAAUGUGACGGUGGGCAACGUGACGCGUGAGGAAGUGGUGUUCGAGGUGGUGACGGACAGCUGGCUGACGUACGUGGAAGGCGUGUGCGUAAUAUGGUUCACCAUCGAGGUGUUCACGCGUGUCAUCUUCUGCCCCGACAAGGCCGAGUUCUUCAAGAGCUCGCUCAACAUCAUUGACUUCGUGGCCAUCCUGCCCUUCUACCUGGAGGUGGCGCUCAGCGGCCUCUCGUCCAAGGCUGCCAAGGACGUGCUGGGCUUCCUGCGUGUCGUCCGCUUCGUCCGGAUCUUGAGGAUCUUCAAGCUCACGCGCCAUUUCGUCGGGCUCCGCGUGCUGGGCCACACUCUGCGUGCCAGCACCAACGAGUUCCUGCUCCUAAUCAUCUUCCUGGCUCUCGGGGUGCUCAUCUUCGCCACCAUGAUUUACUACGCCGAGAGGAUCGGCGCUGACCCCGGCGACCCCACGGCCAGCGCCCACACCUCAUUCAAGAACAUCCCUAUUGGCUUCUGGUGGGCCGUGGUCACCAUGACUACGCUGGGCUAUGGCGACAUGUAUCCUGAGACGUGGUCGGGCAUGUUGGUUGGCGCUCUGUGUGCCCUGGCUGGUGUGCUCACCAUCGCUAUGCCAGUGCCUGUCAUCGUCAACAACUUCGGCAUGUACUACUCACUGGCCAUGGCCAAGCAGAAGCUGCCCAAGAAGAAGAAUAAACACAUCCCACGAGCCCCGCAGCCUGGCUCGCCCAAUUACUGCAAGCCCGAUGCUCUCGCCAUGGCCACAGCCUCGCCGCACAGGAUCAUGGGUAAUGUGCUGGGCGGCAGCAUAGCAGGGGACUGCCCCCUGGCGCAGGAAGAGAUCAUCGAGAUCAACAGAGCAGACUCGAAGCAGAACGGGGACGCGGCUAACGCAGCCCUGGCUAACGAGGACUGCCCCACAAUAGACCAGGUGCUGGGGCCGGACGACAGGAGUCCGGCAACGGGGACCGGGCGCUACCCGCACGACCGCGCCUGCUUCCUGCUCAGCGCUGGCGAGUUCCGCACCACCGACAGCAAUGUCAGGAAAGGCCGGCGCUACAGUGUCCGUAGUGUUACUAAAGUCUGACCUGAGAGAACUAUUCUGAAAGCCCACUGCUUAUCAGAUAUAUGCAAAAAGAAGCUGUAACUGUGAAGUAAUCUAGAACAGGAAACUCCAUUUCUCCCUUCACGUGCACGCUCCCGAAUGAACACUCAACCUCUCAAUCACCCCCCACCCUUCUCCCUGUAACGAUGGUUCCUUCCUCACCAACCUCUCCAGCCUUAUUCCCCAUUUUUAUUUGUUUUUGGUCCCAUGAUUUUUUCCACAUAUCUUCUUUUCAUGCACUAAGUUCUGUUCUUUUUUUUUUCCCUUCUCUCAGUACGCAGAACAGAUUAUUCUGAUUUCCUCCGCAUGUCAGCGGGCCGUGUUACCACUUGCCGCCCACUGGAUGCUCGUAGCGGAACUCGUUCGCAGGCCCUCGAGCAUUUAACGAGAGCUAAAUUGAUGUAGCACACACUAUCAUGUAGAACAGUAGCAGACGUUUAGUCGUUUUAACGGAGUAAGGAUCGAUGUUGAGUGUUGAUCGAGGAACGUAAACGAACAAGGAAGACGAUGACGAUGCUACGACUGUCUUCAGCAGUGCAUGUUGCCUCGCGUACUACCGGAAUGCUUCGUGCUGCAUCCUUGUGCAUCUUGCGAUUUUUUUUUUUUCCUAUAUGCAUUUAAAAGAUUUAAAAGAGCUAGGCUAGGCUCAGGAGAGCAGGAGAAGACAACACUUCAUCCCACCCUAAAAAAAAAAAAAAAAAAUGCUGAGGAGGUAAGCACAGGAACGAGCAAGCUGCGUCCAUUUUGAAUGUAGCUUCUAGCCGUGUAAUGAUUUUUGACAUAAUUGAUCUCCAUGCAAAAAUGACCCAGAAUCCUCUCUGUCUCCCAUGUCACUACUCAGGUAUAGCUCUCUACGUCGGUCUUUUAUCAGUGCUUCCAAAAACGAUGUCAACUCUGAAUAAAAAAAGAGACAGAAACAGAAAACGAAUGAGGAAGGGGUUAGUAGAAACUUGUCCUGAAGUGUCCACAGGUCUUCCUUUCCUAGUGUCCUUGUGCUAUUUAUUUAUUUAUUUAUUUAUUUAUUUAUUUAUUUUUUGCAUAAUCUAUGACAUCUCUCUCCAUGCCCUCGCAAUCACGUUGACUCCCAUUUUAUUCUUUUUUUUUUUUUUUUUUUUUUUUUUUUUUUUGGAUUAAUUUCCUGGAUAAUGAUAUAAAAAAAAAAAGAAAUGUCAAAAUGUGAUCUGCCCUUAAAUGGAUUACAAACAACCAAAAAAAAAAUAAAUGAGUGGGACUGAAAGAGCAAAAGACAGACGGACAGAGUGUAUGUGUGGGGGGGAAAUAAACGAGUGUGUGUUGAAAGAGGAUUCUACAAGGAAGAAAGGCACCGAGAAAUGGAGGAGAGUUUGAGGAAGAAGGAAAAACUGAAAACAGGAGAGAGAGAAAGAGAGGAGGAAGGAAGGAAGCUGAUCGGCUUCUCAGUUGCUGAGUUUCUGAACUGACCGCUUUGUCUCUAAAGACGAAUCCGGCACUGCAGACGAAAAAAUCCAGAUUCCAACUCCAUAAAGUGAGAGAACACACCAGGAGGAAAGAAGUGAGAAAAGAGAAGAGGAGAGGAAGGAGACGGAGCGGUGCUAAUAAGGCUUGAGGAAGUGGAAUCUGUUGUGUCUCCGCUCAUAGAUGGAACCCCUGAAUGGAUCAACCAAGCACAGGCACAUUUCACCAUUAUGAUGGUGGGACUUUACAUGUUCUUCCAAACUGGACAGUCGUUUCAAUCUGGGCUUAUUCGCAUACAUAUCAGUCCAACGCUGUGGAAAGAUUUCCUUUCCUCUUUUGCACUCAGCGGUUCCAUCUCUUUGCAUCGAUUCUUCUUUUUUUUUUUAAAAAAAAAAGUCAUUUGCAUGCACUUCAGGUGGAAGCUAAAGAUUUAAACUCAGAAAACAGGGAUUGCUCCCGCUUUGGGCUCUCCACCGUUUGUUUUUAAGGGCAAAGAAAAUUCCAUGGAAGGUUUCCCAAGCUUGAUUCAACUCUAUGCAAUUCAGCCACUCACUAUUUAAGAAAAAAAAAAAAAGCCAAAUCAGCAGAUGGCACUCAACUUCAUCCUCUUCCCAAAAGAGAGAGGGUCAAGAGCCAGCGCCUGGCACGAACUCACGUCUGCGCCGAAACUCUCCUCUCAUGUACUGCAGCUAAACGUUCAUCGAACAUGACAGGCAAAUUCAUCACGUCACGUCCAGGACUCACAGGCAUGUGACUAUAAACAGUACACAGGAAAGACGCUUAGCAUCCUUUCCAGUCUUUCUUGUGUCUCUUUUCAACAUCUCAGCGUUUCUCCUCCUCUGUAGCUGAACUGCAUGGCAUGAACUAAAAAAAAAAAAAACGACAAAUUAUAAUUAAAUCCUGGUAGAAGAAAGUACAGGACACAGGACAGGACGGAGAAACUGAUGAGAUGUUUAAAUCCUGACUGCAUUGUCUGUACAGAAGAGGACUAGACGACGCGAGUCUCUCGCCUUCAACCCGGGGAAGAGGGUGGAGUUUUUCCAGAUCAUCAGAACGGAUACGGAACCUGCUGAAGGACAGAGUGGGGUGAACUUUGAACUAAACACUUAAGGGGAAAAAAAGAAAUAACACAAUAGAAUACGAAUGCAAAUUGAAAAAAAAAAAAUGCAUUUUCUGACUUUGUUUACCAGCAUGAUAAAAAAUUGCAUGAGUCUGCUUCUAAUAAGUCCUCACCCAAUUCCCCCAAACACACACACUUUAAAAAAAAAAAAAAGCAAAAAGAGGGCUUGGAAUUAUUAAAAGAGCAAAAUCAUGGGGAAACAUUGCAGGUUUAUGUUAUAUGCAACUACAUUUAGAAAGUUAUAUUAUUAAAAAAAAAGUUCUAUAUUUUGUUUUACUACUAAAAAUGGGAUACGCAAAUAUACAUGUAGGACUGCAAGAUCCAGUCAGAACAUAGAUAUUAGACCCCGAACUGAUAUGGAAAAUAAAUUCCUGCUAUUUAAAAACUAGUUCUACUCAUCAUUUUCACACUAAAACCUCUUGCUUUCCCUCUCUAUUCCUAAUCUUAACUCUCCUCGUGCUUUUUAUCCCCUGCGUCUCUGCAUUUGCAUCCUGGGAAUUUACAUCUUCCACCAUUUGCCAGGGAUGAAAAAAAAAAAAAACACAACCACUUGGUCACAAUCCAUGCAAAUAUUUAAAACCCUUUCUGAAAUAUUGCAUAUCAGAAUUCAGAAUGCUAAUCAUAUUGCUAGAGCCAAGCAUUUAGGACUGAAAUUAAGGUUUUAAGUGUUGACUUUUAAUGCCGUCAGGUCAGGGUCACUUUCCUGUUGUUUCUGAUUAGUUUUCUUAAAUUUUAAGUCUUAGGGAGAUUUCAGUAGCACUACAGUGAGUAAGUUGAAACCUAUGUUAAGCUGUACUGUGUAAAAGCCCUAGGUCAUUAUUUUAUGUUUAAAGCAAAAUAUUCGUGCAGUAGAUGCAAUUUCUAUUCAAAAGGAACAAGAUGUUUUGUGCAUGUUCCAAAAAGGUCAUUAGUAUAUUGUAAGAUGGCACCUCAAUUUUAACUUAAUUAGACAUUGAUUUGCGAAGUCAGGUGUGCUUGUGGUCUAACUUCAUGUCCCCUUCAAACACACAGGUUUACUGGAUGAUAUUCCUAUUGGAAUAUACAUUAAUGCAGUUAUGCACACGUAAAGUUUAUGAACAUUUUCCAAAAUACAUUGUUUCAUAUUGACUAUCUUAAAGAAAGCAAUCCAAAAGACCUCUGUAAAUUAACAUGAGUCUUUCAUUUGUGACAAAAUACUGGCAGAAGAGUUAGUAGCCGACACGCUGCAGUGGCCGAGCUGCAUUACUGGAGGAUUUAGCGCAUGCUGUGGUUAGGAGGAGCUCUUUCACCUUUAAUCAUCAUUUUGUCAUUUUCAGCUCUCUGUAAGCUUUUUUUAUGGUGUUUUAUGGGCAUCACUAAACAUAAAUCAGCUGUGCCAGGAAUUUUCAAUUUGGUUAGGGAUAUGAUAAGAUUUACACACAACUUUAGUAAAAGAAAUAAAUGUCCCUCAUAUACUCAUAGCAACACCACACACACACACACACACACACACUAAAAUACCAUUGUAGAAGUGUCGACAUCUAUGUUUAAGCUGUAGCAGACAACGAGUCAACCAUUUGAUGCGUCAUUAAGGGUUAAGGUUAGGAGUAAGGUAAGAGUUAGCCAAUCAUGUAACUUGAUUUGUCGAUCACUUGAUUUAUUGAAUCACAAAUUGCAUCAGUCCGUCAUGUUAUGCAUCAGUCACUGGUCUUAAACGUCAAAAAGGCAUACUUUUACUUUAUUUAUAUCCACACUUCUUGUUCUUUUUGAGCAAUUACUAACUGUAAUUUUACAAUUAAAUAAUAACAAAGCUGCACGCAUUUGUAAUGAUAAAAAUCAUGCGAAAUUCAGAGAAUGUUGAGUAGGCUAAUAAAUAAUUAACUAAUUUCUUAGAGUCUAUUAGAAUAGGGGACAUACUGGGUAAUUACAUGGAAGCAUUAAGGUUUAGUUUGACCAUUAUGGAAAAACAUGAUGGAUAGCUUGUAUUAAUCUGUGAAUUAACAUGUGAUUGACGGGCAUAAGCAUUUACUUAAUACUUACUUGUCCCUGCCCACAAUAGUCUCCAAGCUGCAACAUUCCCCUACUGUCAUUUUGUCGUUUUUCAGCACUCUGGGCGAGUUUGGUGGGCCUUACAAGAUGUCACGAAAUCAGCUGUGCCUGUAGUAUGUUCUUGGUAAUUUAUGGGUGAUUGGUGUUUAUCAGUGUAUACACAAAAGUACGAAAGAAAACCAGCAAAACUUUUGUACAUCUGGCAGGAGUGAUUAAGUUUGGUAUGACCUUUGAAAACAUUUAGACACAAUUUUAAUUAAAGAUUAAUAAAUUAGGUAUACCAGAAGAAAAGCUUCUUCUGACAUUAUUGCCACUAAUAAUGUUUUAACAAUAUCAUGUGCCAUUUCAAACAAAUAAACAGUUGCUUUAAACAUAAUUUCCUCAGAUGACCUAAGACUUUCCCGUAGUACUGUGUAUAUAAGUUGAGGUAAAGAAGAAAAGCUGGCUUUCUGAGUUCAUUUCAAAUUUUUUUUGUCUUUUUUUAUUCAGGUAGCCCUAUAAUUGUAGCCACACAAGUGAAGCCGUGUUUCUAAGCAGAACCCACUGAGAGCAGAAGUGUAUUUUCAUUGACUCUCUUUUAUCUUGUAUGGAACAAUGUGUUACUGUUCCAUCUAAUCUCAUAAUCAUUUUAAUACAGUAAUAUAGUAAUAAAGACGGUAGCAACCGCUGAUGUGUAAGAGCAAUACCAUGAAUUUUUUUUUUCUAUCGUCACUCCAUCUUCUAUUCAUUCCCAACACUUAAGUGCUUUAAAUGCCAAAAUGCAGCCACAAAUUCUGACCUUACAGGCGAAAGUUUUAUCAUUAUUUAAUUAAGUGCUUAAUUAAGUGCUGCUCUAUUUAUUUAUUAAUUCAUUCUGUGAUAUGUUUAAUGCUAAGUAUUUCAGUGCACAGCUCUACAGUUGAAUUUCGUAAUGCACCCUGAUGGAUAAAGCUGAAAUUAUACGGUGCUGUUCAGGUCUUCCUUAGCAACUUUAAGGUGUAAGAGGAAAUGAUGAGACAUAGACUAAUGGAUGCUGCUUCUUCAUCAUGUACAGUUUAGCAGGAAAUGUGUUUCGGUUGAUGUUUAUGUAUCAUGCCUCUUUUUGUCAUUUUUCUAUUACAUAAUGUACAGCGAAUGAUAAUUUUGAACUCCUGGAAGGUGAGACGGUGAGAAUGCAAACUGGACCGAUGAUGUAUUUAACAAAUUCACGUCGUCACCUUCUACAUUCCGUACUGAUAUACAGUGGACAGUUAGAAUAUAUUGCACAUUAAACAAAAGCCUCUAUUAUUGUGUUUUUUUUUUUUUCUAUUUAUUGAUGAGCAAUCUUGCGAAUGCGAUUUUAGUGUUUUGUUUUGUUUUUGUCACUACACGUGUUGAAAACUGGGCCAGGACGCAAAAUGAGUCAACUAACUACCUAUGCAGGGUUGGCAUCGUUCUCAGGCCAGUUAGCUGACAGUUGUAUGGUGAGAAGCAGAUGAACCAGGAGCUGGAGGAGAGUGCAGGUCAAGCUGCUAAAAGGGCUAUGUAAAAAAACACCGACACAAAACACCAGAGGCCAUCGCUGCAUCUUUACCAAAGGUCAGCAGGUUGAAAUAUAUGGUGCCAUUUAGUUAUUUUCACAAUUAUUCUUGCUCUGCAUCUGCAAAAUGAUCUGUGAAGCAGGAAGUUAGUCAGCGCUCCUUACUGAAGGUCCACAGAAAGUAGUUGUGUAUCGAGAAAAGCCAGAUUCUGUUCAUGCCAUUCAGUUAAAGCAAUAAUUUUGAUUCAUCCUGAGUCUUAAUGUCUUCAUUUCAAUGAUCCUUUUUCAUCAUGUUUAAGAAUCUUGUGUGCAUGAGAGAUGAAUAUAUUUUCCACAAAUUGGGUUUAGCGACGUCGACAAGAGAGAGCUUUGUGAACAAGUGUGUUCAUGUGUGGGGGUUUUCGAUUGAGAAACAGAGUGAAAUUACCCCUAGAACCCCCCCCCCAUCACACACACACACACACACACACACAUACACACACUUAAUACAACACUCAGCUCACCAUGUGCAUACAUUUCCUCAAAACUUAAAUAUGUAACAUAUCAGAGAGGACUAGAGCAAAAAAAAAAAAAAUCAGUCUUUCCUCCUCGUUCUUCUCUCCUCUGCUCCUCGUCCUUCUCUAUUUUUGAGAAAGAAGCUCUUUUGCAUCCCUUGUUCUUGUGUUUUUCUAUCAUAUUGUUUGAGAUUGAAUUAUACUGCAUGCAUGGGAUUUAAAACAAAACAAAACAAAGUCUCAACUUAUUUGCAAAUGGCCAGAAUGAGGUAACUGUCUUUUUCUCCUGGCUUCUCGGUUGUUCUCUCACUCAGAUUUGGCUGGGAAAGGAAAAAAAAUACAUAUGCAUAUAUUAUUUAUUGUCUUUUCAUGAGUAGUUAAGUCUUAUCAUCAAAACUGCAUUAAUUAAUACUUUAUAUUAGACAUUGCACUUUGAGUUUGCUCAACCAGCCAGGUUAAUUCAUUUUAAAUUCGUUCAAUUCGUUUAAUUUUAUUUUGCACACUUCCAGAAUUUUUGAAGCCAAAAAUUUUUAAAGUUAACAAUUAAUGUACAUCUGAAAUAUUUGUGCCAUUGAAUUUGGUGCUUCUGAUGUUUUUGCCACAUUCAACCCUUUCACACACCCUGAGAGAGAAAACAAAAGAACAGAGAGAAAGACGGUUAUUAAAAACAGUGAACGGUUUAUGCUAUUAAGACCGAUACUGGACACAGUUUUAAUGUCAUAAUAUGUAAAAAAUAAAAAAUAAAAAUUAAAAAAAAAAGGAAAAAACCACAACAGAACUGUAUAAAAUAUAUUUCAAUGGAAUGUUUAUUAUUUACCUUUUAUAUUUUUGAAACAUGUAAAGAAAAAAUUAAUAAACUGUUAUAAUUUAACAAAGUUUGAGAAAAACUGAGACUUAAAACAUUAUCCUGUUGAAGGUACGAAUGUUUGAAGGUGAAUGCUUACCUACCUGAUAAAAAGUCUUCAUUACAAAUAGGGGAAAAACACAUGAAAUGGUACAAAAAAUAAAAGAAAAAAGUACAUUUAAAAAGAAAAGCUUAUGAAAAUCAAUAAAAAUUAUAAAAGCUCUUGCCAAAAUUUUCAA